This 428-nucleotide long non-coding RNA is filed under the name Neogale vison (American mink). RNAcentral describes it as "Neovison vison (American mink) lncRNA (ENSNVIG00000006536.1)". The record is from RNAcentral. Lineage: Eukaryota; Metazoa; Chordata; Mammalia; Carnivora; Mustelidae.
UAGUAUUAUAAUGAAUAUAAAGUGUUGAGUUCUGAAGCUGGCACACUGCAGGCCUAGAGAGAAUGUCAGUUGUUAUUAACAGCUAGUACAGGUUUGCACAUUUAAAGGAAGGUCACUGACUGGGCCAAGCUCACUCUUGGUUCUCUUUGCUUCUUCCCUCAGCCCCUGCCCUUCACUGAGAGGGAGCCAAGGUGAUGGCAGCCAUGCCCCUGAAUGCCUGGCACCAGGGGAAAAACUGCUACACCCUCAGCCUCAGAAGAUGUCAGGCAGGGAUGGAGGGAGAAGUCUGAGCAUACCCAGUUUGCAGACUUGCCCUGAUCUCACUUCUGGAAGGAGGGGAUUUGCCUUGGGGUCUGGAGACACAGGAUGAUCCCCCUGCAGAGGGUACCAGUGAUGUCUCUAAAGGUAGGUGAGGCAGGUUUAGAACC